CAGCCGCCGCGGUAAUACCAGCUCUCCGAGUGGUAGGGAUGAUUAUUGGGCUUAAAGCGUCCGUAGCCGGCUUAGCAAGUCUCCUGUUAAACUCAGCGACCUAAUCGUUGAGCCGCGGGAGAUACUACUAGGCUAGGAGGCGGGAGAGGUCGACGGUACUUCCGGGGUAGGGGUGAAAUCCUAUAAUCCCGGGAGGACCACCAGUGGCGAAGGCUGUCGACUAGAACGCGCUCGACGGUGAGGGACGAAAGCUGGGGGAGCGAACCGGAUUAGAUACCCGGGUAGUCCCAGCCGUAAACGAUGCGGGCUAGGUGUUGGGUGGCUACGAGCCACUUCAGUGCCGCAGGGAAGCCAUUAAGCCCGCCGCCUGGGGAGUACGGCCGCAAGGCUGAAACUUAAAGGAAUUGGCGGGGGAGCACCACAAGGCGUGAAGCUUGCGGUUCAAUUGGAGUCAACGCCGGGAACCUUACCGGGGGCGACAGCAGGAUGAAUGCCAGAUUGAAGGUCUUGCUGGACAAGCUGAGAGGAGGUGCAUGGCCGUCGCCAGUUCGUGCCGUGAGGUGUCCUGUUAAGUCAGGCAACGAUCGAGACCCGCGCCCCUAGUUGCUACUGAGGAAAUUUUCCAAGGGGCACUCUAGGGGGACUGCCGUCGACAAGACGGAGGAAGGAGCGGGCCACGGCAGGUCAGUAUGCCCCGAAUCCCCCGGGCUACACGCGAGCUGCAAUGGCAGGGACAAUGAGUUCCGACCCUGAAAAGGGGAGGCAAUCUCUAAACCCUGCCUCAGUUGGGAUCGAAGGCUGGAACCCGCCUUCGUGAACAUGGAAUGCCUAGUAAUCGCGCGUCAUCAUCGCGCGGUGAAUACGUCCCCGCUCCUUGCACACACCGCCCGU
This 891-nucleotide ribosomal RNA is filed under the name uncultured archaeon. RNAcentral's name for it is "bacterial SSU rRNA". It matches the Rfam family "Archaeal small subunit ribosomal RNA", at positions 459 to 1353 of the family's 1478-position model. The record is from RNAcentral.